Molecule: ribosomal RNA, 395 nt
Filed under: uncultured bacterium
Lineage: Bacteria
Description: bacterial SSU rRNA
Rfam family: Bacterial small subunit ribosomal RNA
Source: RNAcentral
GACGAACGCUGGCGGCGUGCUUAACACAUGCAAGUCGAGCGGUAAGGCCCUUUCGGGGGUACACGAGCGGCGAACGGGUGAGUAACACGUGGGUGACCUGCCCUUAGCUCUGGGAUAAGCCUGGGAAACUGGGUCUAAUACCGGAUAUGACUCCAUGACGCAUGUUGUGGGGUGGAAAGCCUUGUGCGGCUAGGGAUGGGCCCGCGGCCUAUCAGCUUGUUGGUGGGGUGAUGGCCUACCAAGGCGACGACGGGUAGCCGGCCUGAGAGGGCGACCGGCCACACUGGGACUGAGACACGGCCCAGACUCCUACGGGAGGCAGCAGUGGGGAAUCUUGCGCAAUGGGCGAAAGCCUGACGCAGCGACGCCGCGUGGGGAUGACGGCCUCGGUGUAA